This 425-nucleotide ribosomal RNA is filed under the name uncultured bacterium. Its description in RNAcentral is "partial 16S ribosomal RNA". It matches the Rfam family "Bacterial small subunit ribosomal RNA", at positions 354 to 796 of the family's 1533-position model. The record is from RNAcentral.
GUGGGGAAUCUUGCGCAAUGGGCGAAAGCCUGACGCAGCCAUGCCGCGUGAAUGAUGAAGGUCUUAGGAUUGUAAAAUUCUUUCACCGGGGACGAUAAUGACGGUACCCGGAGAAGAAGCCCCGGCUAACUUCGUGCCAGCAGCCGCGGUAAUACGAAGGGGGCUAGCGUUGCUCGGAUUUACUGGGCGUAAAGGGCGCGUAGGCGGACAUUUAAGUCAGGGGUGAAAUCCCGGGGCUCAACCUCGGAACUGCCUUUGAUACUGGGUGUCUUGAGUAUGAGAGAGGUGUGUGGAACUCCGAGUGUAGAGGUGAAAUUCGUAGAUAUUCGGAAGAACACCAGUGGCGAAGGCGACACACUGGCUCAUUACUGACGCUGAGGCGCGAAAGCGUGGGGAGCAAACAGGAUUAGAAACCCGAGUAGUCC